Molecule: non-coding RNA, 282 nt
Organism: Vicia faba (fava bean)
Lineage: Eukaryota; Viridiplantae; Streptophyta; Magnoliopsida; Fabales; Fabaceae
Source: the annotation of a GenBank genome assembly
AUGCUUGUUGCAAAUCUUGCAGCAGCAUUUGAGGUAACUCAGACUCAACCAAAACUUGUUGAAAUUGUUACAUCACUUCCGAGUAUACCUGUUACAUCAGUUCAUAGUUCACAUGUUACUUCAGCUCACAGUGCACCUGUUACAUCUUCACAAAUUGACUCUGGUAUAACAUAUUCUACACCAGACUAUAUAUUAUAUGCAUCUGUUCCAACAACUAAUGAAGUACUUGCUGCACCUAUUUCUACUACUCCUAGAUUUCUAAAACUAGUUGAGUCUAUUUAA